UACAUCGGAACGUGUCCCGUAGUGGGGGAUAGCCCGGCGAAAGCCGGAUUAAUACCGCAUAUGCUCUACGGAGGAAAGUGGGGGACUCGCAAGGGCCUCACGCUAUGGGAGCGGCCGAUGUCCGAUUAGCUUGUUGGCGGGGUAAUGGCCCACCAAGGCGACGAUCGGUAGCUGGUCUGAGAGGAUGAUCAGCCACACUGGGACUGAGACACGGUCCAG
RNAcentral lists this ribosomal RNA (219 nucleotides) under uncultured bacterium. RNAcentral describes it as "partial 16S ribosomal RNA". It matches the Rfam family "Bacterial small subunit ribosomal RNA", at positions 114 to 334 of the family's 1533-position model. The record is from RNAcentral.